UAUAAAUUUUUAUGGUUUGAAAAAUUUAUUUAAAAUUUAUUUUACAUAUAAAUUUUGGUAUUAAAUUUAAUUAUUUAAAUAAUAAUUAAAUUAUUUAUGUAGUAAUUAAUAUUAAAAAUUUAAGUAAUUAAGAUUUAGUAAUAUAAAAAUUAAUAACAAAUUUUGUGCCAGCAGUUGCGGUUAUACAAAAAUUAAAAUAAAUUUUUUUAGUGGUUAAUAAAUGUAAUUAAUUUAAUAAUUUAAAUUUUAGUUUAUUAAGUGAAAUUUUAACCUAAUUAAAAAUUAUUUUUAUGGGAUUAAUAAAUUUUGUUUAUAGACUAGGAUUAGAUACCCUAUUAUUAAAAAAUUAAAUAUAAAAUACUAAAAUAUUAGAUUUUGAUUGAAACUUAAAUAAUUUGGCGGUAUUUUAGUUCAUUUAGAGGAAUCUGUCUAAUAAUUGAUAAUCCACGAAUAAAUUUACUUAAUUUAUUAUUUUGUAUAUCGUUGUUGAAAAAAUAUUUUUAAAUAAUAGAUAAUAUUUUAAAAUUUUAAUAAAAAAUUAAAUCAAAUCAAGAUGCAGAUUAUAGUUAAGAAUAUGAUGGAUUACAAUAAAUUUAUUUAGGUGGAAAUUAAUGUGUAAUAUUAAUUGAAAAUGGAUUUAAAUGUAAUUUUUUUUUAGUUUAGUAAAAUGAUUAAUAAUUAAAAUAUGUACAUAUUGCCCGUCGCUUUCAUUUUAAAGUUGAAAUAAGUCGUAACAAAGUAGAGGUACUGGAAAGUGUUUCUAGAAAGAA
This 770-nucleotide ribosomal RNA is filed under the name Erasmia pulchella. RNAcentral's name for it is "12S ribosomal RNA". Lineage: Eukaryota; Metazoa; Arthropoda; Insecta; Lepidoptera; Zygaenidae. The record is from RNAcentral.